CAUGUGUUGAACAGCCAGUGCACGGCCCUGCCCUCUCCAGAAUUCUAAGCAUGCGAUGUUCAACAACAUGGGAGAAAGCUGAUCCCACAGCAUCAGCAGUGGACUGGAGGCAAACACCUGGGUGGCAACACUCCAGCUGGGGCAUAAUCAGUGUGGUGUGUCAUUCACUAAUAUUGGCCAUUUUGAGCAGUCAGAGGCUUGCUGAGGUUUGCUUCUGCAAUCCAUUCAGUAAUCACAACAGAAGUACUAGUGAACCACAAUUCACAUUGGCAUUUUCAAGGUAA
This 284-nucleotide long non-coding RNA is filed under the name Cyanistes caeruleus (blue tit). Its description in RNAcentral is "lncRNA (ENSCCEG00000005486.1)". Lineage: Eukaryota; Metazoa; Chordata; Aves; Passeriformes; Paridae. The record is from RNAcentral.